GGCCCUUUAGUACGGCGAGUGAAGCGGCAAAAGCUCAAAUUUGAAAUCUGGUACCUUCGGUGCCCGAGUUGUAAUUUGGAGAGGGCAACUUUGGGGCCGUUCCUUGUCUAUGUUCCUUGGAACAGGACGUCAUAGAGGGUGAGAAUCCCGUGUGGCGAGGAGUGCGGUUCUUUGUAAAGUGCCUUCGAAGAGUCGAGUUGUUUGGGAAUGCAGCUCUAAGUGGGUGGUAAAUUCCAUCUAAAGCUAAAUAUUGGCGAGAGACCGAUAGCGAACAAGUACAGUGAUGGAAAGAUGAAAAGAACUUUGAAAAGAGAGUGAAAAAGUACGUGAAAUUGUUGAAAGGGAAGGGCAUUUGAUCAGACAUGGUGUUUUGUGCCCUCUGCUCCUUGUGGGUAGGGGAAUCUCGCAUUUCACUGGGCCAGCAUCAGUUUUGGUGGCAGGAUAAAUCCAUAGGAAUGUAGCUUGCCUCGGUAAGUAUUAUAGCCUGUGGGAAUACUGCCAGCUGGGACUGAGGACUGCGACGUAAGUCAAGGAUGCUGGCAUAAUGGUUAUAUGCCGCCCGUCUUGAACCACGGACCA
RNAcentral lists this ribosomal RNA (579 nucleotides) under Saccharomyces cerevisiae (brewer's yeast). Its description in RNAcentral is "eukaryotic LSU rRNA". It matches the Rfam family "Eukaryotic large subunit ribosomal RNA", at positions 73 to 668 of the family's 3401-position model. Lineage: Eukaryota; Fungi; Ascomycota; Saccharomycetes; Saccharomycetales; Saccharomycetaceae. The record is from RNAcentral.